This 253-nucleotide ribosomal RNA is filed under the name uncultured bacterium. RNAcentral describes it as "partial 16S ribosomal RNA". It matches the Rfam family "Bacterial small subunit ribosomal RNA", at positions 524 to 776 of the family's 1533-position model. The record is from RNAcentral.
UACGUAGGGUGCAAGCGUUGUCCGGAAUUAUUGGGCGUAAAGAGCUCGUAGGCGGUUCGUCGCGUCGGCUGUGAAAACCCGGAGCUCAACUCCGGGCCUGCAGUCGAUACGGGCGGACUUGAGUGUUGCAGGGGAGACUGGAAUUCCUGGUGUAGCGGUGAAAUGCGCAGAUAUCAGGAGGAACACCGAUGGCGAAGGCAGGUCUCUGGGCCAUAACUGACGCUGAGACGCGAAAGCGUGGGUAGCAAACAGG